CGGGACGGGUGAGUAAUGUCUGGGAAACUGCCUGAUGGAGGGGGAUAACUACUGGAAACGGUAGCUAAUACCGCAUAACGUCGCAAGACCAAAGAGGGGGACCGUUGGCCCUCUUGCCAUCGGAUGUGCCCAGAUGGGAUUAGCUAGUAGGUGGGGUAAAGGCUCACCUAGGCGACGAUCCCUAGCUGGUCUGAGAGGAUGACCAGCCACACUGGAACUGAGACACGGUCCAG
This 233-nucleotide ribosomal RNA is filed under the name uncultured bacterium. Its description in RNAcentral is "partial 16S ribosomal RNA". It matches the Rfam family "Bacterial small subunit ribosomal RNA", at positions 100 to 334 of the family's 1533-position model. The record is from RNAcentral.